RNAcentral lists this ribosomal RNA (253 nucleotides) under uncultured bacterium. RNAcentral describes it as "partial 16S ribosomal RNA". It matches the Rfam family "Bacterial small subunit ribosomal RNA", at positions 524 to 776 of the family's 1533-position model. The record is from RNAcentral.
UACGUAGGUGGCGAGCGUUGUCCGGAUUUACUGGGCGUAAAGAGCGCGCAGGCGGUCGAUCAAGUCGGAUGUGAAAGCCCCCGGCUCAACUGGGGAGGGUCAUUCGAUACUGGUCGACUCGAAGGCAGGAGAGGGAAGCGGAAUUCCCGGUGUAGUGGUGAAAUGCGUAGAUAUCUGGAGGAACACCGGUGGCGAAGGCGGCAUCCUGGACCGGCAUUGACGCUGAGGAGCGAAAGCCAGGGGAGCAAACGGG